AAUGGCAAAGGGGCAUGCAUCCCAGCAGAGUCCGCCUUCCCAGCAGCCUGCACAGCUCACUGGCCAAAAUUUAGUCACAAUGGAGACUUUAUUCUGGGUAGCAACAUUACUCACUGAAAGUCAGGGAAGGGAAAAGGACCCUGCACUGUGUUCAUUUAUGCAGUGGCAGCAGAUGGGAAGCUGUGGUCUAGCUGGAGGGAAUGAGGACCCGACCUAGAGUGACCCUGAGAAGAAUGUGAGCUGUAUGAAAAACAAGGACCUCAUCUAUCUCCUUCAUCAUGGGAACUCCAGCAUCCAGAAUCGACCCUGGAACCAAAUGAACACUUAGUAAAUGUUUGCUGAAUGAAAGAAAUAAAAGCACUAAUAGAUCA
Molecule: non-coding RNA, 371 nt
Organism: Microcebus murinus (gray mouse lemur)
Lineage: Eukaryota; Metazoa; Chordata; Mammalia; Primates; Cheirogaleidae
Source: RefSeq, a predicted model, not a curated record